AGCAGUCGCCAGGUAAUACGUAGGGUGCAAGCGUUAAUCGGAAUUACUGGGCGUAAAGCGUGCGCAGGCGGUUCGGAAAGAAAGAUGUGAAAUCCCAGAGCUUAACUUUGGAACUGCAUUUUUAACUACCGGGCUAGAGUGUGUCAGAGGGGGGUGGAAUUCCACGUGUAGCAGUGAAAUGCGUAGAUAUGUGGAGGAACACCGAUGGCGAAGGCAGCCCCCUGGGAUAACACUGACGCUCAUGCACGAAAGCGUGGGGAGCAAACAGGAUUAGAUACCCCCGUAGUCCCUGUCUCUUAUACA
This 303-nucleotide ribosomal RNA is filed under the name uncultured bacterium. Its description in RNAcentral is "partial 16S ribosomal RNA". It matches the Rfam family "Bacterial small subunit ribosomal RNA", at positions 510 to 808 of the family's 1533-position model. The record is from RNAcentral.